AGCGAACGCUGGCGGCAGGCCUAACACAUGCGAGUCGAACGAACCUUUCGGGGUUAGUGGCGGACGGGUGAGUAACACGUGGGAACGUGCCUUUAGGUUCGGAAUAACUCAGGGAAACUUGUGCUAAUACCGAAUGUGCCCUUCGGGGGAAAGAUUUAUCGCCUUUAGAGCGGCCCGCGUCUGAUUAGCUAGUUGGUUGAGGUAAUGGCUCACCAAGGCGACGAUCAGUAGCUGGUCUGAGAGGAUGAUCAGCCACAUUGGGACUGAGACACGGCCCAAACUCCUACGGGAGGCAGCAGAGGGGAAUCUUGCGCAAUGGGCGAAAGCCUGACGCAGCCAUGCCGCGUGAAUGAUGAAGGUCUUAGGAUUGUAUAAUUCUUUCACCGGGGACGAUAAUAACGGUACCCGGAGAAGAGGCCCCGGCUAACUUCGUG
Molecule: ribosomal RNA, 434 nt
Filed under: uncultured bacterium
Lineage: Bacteria
Description: partial 16S ribosomal RNA
Rfam family: Bacterial small subunit ribosomal RNA
Source: RNAcentral